AUAAAAGUUCAAGAACCUUCCAGGAUGCAUUAAAUAGGGAGCUGAUUUAGGACAGAGUAGAACAUACAGUGACAGAUAUUAUUAAAAACUGCCCUGUAUGUUUAAUAACAAACUAUUAGCAGUUUGCAUAUUUUACAUUUGAAGGAUUUACAUUAAUGAACUUUUUGGAUUUAAAAAAUUAUCUUUGAAGAGUGAAUUUGUAUUCUUUGGACAUGUAUACUAAAUUCAUUUUUGACCAAAGUACUUGGGAAUUUAUGCUGAUUGGAUUUAAAUUUGACCAGGACAGGGUUUGGACUAUUUUUGCACAUUAGAUUGGAUUUUACGGCUGUUUGACAUUUUUAAUUUAAAGAUUUUGUUCAGUUGCCCUGUAGGAUUUGACGGUGGCGGCUUUUCAACAGAGAGAGGAUAACCCGGGUCAAAGUUUGCGUACCUUCUGCGGAUGGGACUGUUACUAGACCCUCUCGAUCUGCACGCCUGUUGGUAGACAAAACAAGUCGUUAGAUACCCGUGGUCAACCCAAAUGGAAUGAUCGCUAUUCCGGAACAUGU
Molecule: long non-coding RNA, 548 nt
Organism: Mercenaria mercenaria
Lineage: Eukaryota; Metazoa; Mollusca; Bivalvia; Venerida; Veneridae
Exons: 2
Source: RefSeq, a predicted model, not a curated record